RNAcentral lists this ribosomal RNA (400 nucleotides) under uncultured bacterium. RNAcentral describes it as "bacterial SSU rRNA". It matches the Rfam family "Bacterial small subunit ribosomal RNA", at positions 356 to 773 of the family's 1533-position model. The record is from RNAcentral.
GGGGAAUAUUGCACAAUGGGGGAAACCCUGAUGCAGCAACGCCGCGUGAGUGAUGACGGUCUUCGGAUUGUAAAGCUCUGUCUUUAGGGACGAUAAUGACGGUACCUAAGGAGGAAGCCACGGCUAACUACGUGCCAGCAGCCGCGGUAAUACGUAGGUGGCAAGCGUUGUCCGGAUUUACUGGGCGUAAAGGGAGCGUAGGUGGAUAUUUAAGUGGGAUGUGAAAUACCCGGGCUCAACUUGGGUGCUGCAUUCCAAACUGGUUAUCGAGAGUGCAGGAGAGGAGAGUGGAAUUCCUAGUGUAGCGGUGAAAUGCGUAGAGAUUAGGAAGAACACCAGUGGCGAAGGCGGCUUUCUGGACUGUAACUGACACUGAGGCAUGAAAGCGUGGGGAGCAAAC